GUUAGAGAAGCAAACAGGCCAUGCAAAGGACCUAAACCCCUUCAAAAGAAGUUCAACUCUUCUCUCUAACU
Molecule: transfer RNA, 71 nt
Filed under: Porichthys myriaster (specklefin midshipman)
Lineage: Eukaryota; Metazoa; Chordata; Actinopteri; Batrachoidiformes; Batrachoididae
Description: tRNA-Leu(UUR)
Source: RNAcentral